UCUAACUAUAGACUUGGAUCGUC
This 23-nucleotide non-coding RNA is filed under the name Cricetulus griseus (Chinese hamster). The record is from RNAcentral. Lineage: Eukaryota; Metazoa; Chordata; Mammalia; Rodentia; Cricetidae.